Molecule: unclassified non-coding RNA, 420 nt
Filed under: soil metagenome
Description: partial contains 5.8S ribosomal RNA, internal transcribed spacer 2, and large subunit ribosomal RNA
Rfam family: 5.8S ribosomal RNA (bases 1-120)
Source: RNAcentral
GAUGAAGAACGUAGCGAAAUGCGAUACGUAAUGUGAAUUGCAGAAUUCAGUGAAUCAUCGAAUCUUUGAACGCAUAUUGCGCUCUUUGGUAUUCCGAAGAGCAUGCUUGUUUGAGUAUCAGUAAACACCUCAACCUCUUCUUGAUUUUUCAAAAGGAGGGUGGACUUGAGCUAUCCCAACAACCUUUACCGGUCGGCGGGCGGCUUGAAAUGCAGGUGCAGCUGGACUUUUAUCUGAGCUAAAAGCAUAUCUAUUUAGUCCUCGUCAAACAGGAUUAUUACUUUUGCUGCAGCUAACAUAAAGGAUAAUUGUCCUCUUUGCUGACUGAUGCAGGAUUUUACGACACUUUAUGUGUUGUUCAACUCGAUCUCAAAUCAAGUAAGACUACCCGCUGAACUUAAGCAUAUCAAAAGCGGAGGA